UAAGGAAUAUUGGUCAAUGGACGCAAGUCUGAACCAGCCAUGCCGCGUGAAGGAUGAAGGUCCUCUGGAUUGUAAACUUCUUUUAUCCGGGACGAAAACGGGAUUUUUAUCUCAAUUGACGGUACCAGAGGAAUAAGCACCGGCUAACUCCGUGCCAGCAGCCGCGGUAAUACGGAGGGUGCGAGCGUUAUCCGGAUUUACUGGGUUUAAAGGGUGCGUAGGUGGGCUUAUAAGUCAGUGGUGAAAUCUCCGAGCUUAACUUGGAAACUGCCGUUGAUACUAUAGGUCUUGAAUUAUCUGGAGGUAAGCGGAAUAUGUCAUGUAGCGGUGAAAUGCUUAGAUAUGACAUAGAACACCAAUUGCGAAGGCAGCUUACUACAUAUAAAUUGACGCUGAGGCACGAAAUCGUGGGGAUCAAACA
Molecule: ribosomal RNA, 421 nt
Filed under: uncultured bacterium
Lineage: Bacteria
Description: bacterial SSU rRNA
Rfam family: Bacterial small subunit ribosomal RNA
Source: RNAcentral